This 655-nucleotide ribosomal RNA is filed under the name uncultured forest soil bacterium. RNAcentral's name for it is "bacterial SSU rRNA". It matches the Rfam family "Bacterial small subunit ribosomal RNA", at positions 64 to 767 of the family's 1533-position model. The record is from RNAcentral.
GAGCGCCCCGCAAGGGGAGCGGCAGACGGGAGAGUAACACGUGGGAACGUGCCCUUUGGUUCGGAACAACACAGGGAAACUUGUGCUAAUACCGGAUAAGUCCGUAAGGAGAAAGAUUUAUCGCCAAAGGAUCGGCCCGCGUCUGAUUAGCUUGUUGGUGAGGUAACGGCUCACCAAGGCGACGAUCAGCAGCUGGUCUGAGAGGAUGAUCAGCCUCACUGGGACUGAGACACGGCCCAGACUCCUACGGGAGGCAGCAGUGGGGAAUAUUGGACAAUGGGCGCAAGCCUGAUCCAGCCAUGCCGCGUGGAUGAUGAAGGCCUUAGGGUUGUAAAGUCCUUUCGGCGGGGAAGAUAAUGACGGUACCCGCAGAAGAAGCCCCGGCUAACUUCGUGCCAGCAGCCGCGGUAAUACGAAGGGGGCUAGCGUUGCUCGGAAUCACUGGGCGUAAAGCGCACGUAGGCGGCUUUUUAAGUCAGAGGUGAAAUCCUGGAGCUCAACUCCAGAACUGCCUUUGAUGCUGGAGAGCUUGAGUCCGGGAGAGGUGAGUGGAACUGCGAGUGUAGAGGUGAAAUUCGUAGAUAUUCGCAAGAACACCAGUGGCGAAGGCGGCUCACUGGCCCGGUACUGACGCUGAGGUGCGAAAGCGUGGGGA